UGGGGAAUUUUGGACAAUGGGCGAAAGCCUGAUCCAGCAAUGCCGCGUGUGUGAAGAAGGCCUUCGGGUUGUAAAGCACUUUUGUCCGGAAAGAAAUCCUUGGCUCUAAUACAGUCGGGGGAUGACGGUACCGGAAGAAUAAGCACCGGCUAACUACGUGCCAGCAGCCGCGGUAAUACGUAGGGUGCAAGCGUUAAUCGGAAUUACUGGGCGUAAAGCGUGCGCAGGCGGUUUGCUAAGACCGAUGUGAAAUCCCCGGGCUCAACCUGGGAACUGCAUUGGUGACUGGCAGGCUAGAGUAUGGCAGAGGGGGGUAGAAUUCCACGUNUGAGCAGUGAAAUGCGUAGAGAUGUGGAGGAAUACCGAUGGCGAAGGCAGCCCCCUGGGCCAAUACUGACGCUCAUGCACGAAAGCGUGGGGAGCAAACAGGAUUAGAUACCCUGGUAGUCCACGCCCUAAAACGAUGUCAACUAGUUGUUGGGGAUUCAUUUCCUUAGUAACGUAGCUAACGCGUGAAGUUGACCGCCUGGGGAGUACGUCGCAAGAUUAAAACUCAAAGGAAUUGAC
This 567-nucleotide ribosomal RNA is filed under the name uncultured bacterium. Its description in RNAcentral is "partial 16S ribosomal RNA". It matches the Rfam family "Bacterial small subunit ribosomal RNA", at positions 355 to 914 of the family's 1533-position model. The record is from RNAcentral.